Molecule: transfer RNA, 69 nt
Filed under: Parcoblatta fulvescens
Lineage: Eukaryota; Metazoa; Arthropoda; Insecta; Blattodea; Blattellidae
Description: tRNA-Trp
Source: RNAcentral
AAGGUUUUAAGUUAAAAUUAAACUCGUAGCCUUCAAAGCUAUAAAUAAAGGUGUCUUCUUUAAGCCUUA